UACGGAGGGUGCGAGCGUUGUCCGGAAUCACUGGGCGUAAAGGGCGCGUAGGCGGCGCGGGAAGUCCGUGGUGAAAGCCCGAGGCUCAACUUCGGGUCGGCCAUGGAUACUCCUGGGCUCGAGCACUGUAAAGGCAGGUGGAAUUCCGGGUGUAGCGGUGGAAUGCGUAGAGAUCCGGAAGAACACCGGUGGCGAAGGCGGCCUGCUGGGCAGUAGCUGACACUGAGGCGCGACAGCGUGGGGAGCAAACAGG
This 253-nucleotide ribosomal RNA is filed under the name uncultured bacterium. RNAcentral describes it as "partial 16S ribosomal RNA". It matches the Rfam family "Bacterial small subunit ribosomal RNA", at positions 524 to 776 of the family's 1533-position model. The record is from RNAcentral.